Molecule: long non-coding RNA, 1534 nt
Organism: Melopsittacus undulatus (budgerigar)
Lineage: Eukaryota; Metazoa; Chordata; Aves; Psittaciformes; Psittaculidae
Exons: 2
Source: RefSeq, a predicted model, not a curated record
AGAUCUCCAAAACAAAGUUGUUGGCUUCACUGUCACCUGGUUUAAAUGGCAAACUAAACCCUCUUUCUAGAUUUGGAAGCUGGACGCUGCCUUCUAGCACUGAUAAAGGACUGAAGGAACAUAGCUUCCACUAUUCAGCAGCUGCGGAGGACGCUCGCAGACGCCUCUCACAAAAAACAGAGGCAAGUACCCUCUUCCCUCCUGGAAAAACGGACGUGUGGGUUCAGGCUUAGGCUCAGCAUUUACAAUGCUUACUCAUUAAGAAUGUCUCAUUUAAGCUAGUCAUUAUCUUUAGAUUGCUGUUUAGAAAUAAACUCAUUUUUAUGUCUACUAUUGCUUUGUUAUUUAGGUUGCCUUUACAGCUGGUUCAACUUCCUAUACUGAUCUUGGUUACUAAAGCCAAGCAAGACCUAGAGAAUCACCACAGGGGUAAAGCCCGUGCCAGUCAAUCUGUUAUGUGUGGAAGGCAAGUGAUGUUGCCAGUAAUUGCCCUUGCGACAGCAGCUACUGGUCUAUGACAUAGCAUUAACAGCUGGUGUACUUCUCACUGUUCUUUACUGAAAUCUGUGAGAAGAAUUUAGUACUUGGUCGCCUACCAGUGGUCCUAGGUUCAUAAAUGAAAAAGACAUACUGCUACACAAAGUUACUAUGGAGGCUUGGGGGGAGGGGGAGUAUUCUUUUAUUCUUAUAGAAAUGGACUUCUUGGAGGGCAGCAAACUGAAAACACUUAUGUUGCUACUAUCCAUUGAUAAAUACAACCUUUUAUCUGUCGGUGCCCUCCACAUCCUUAAUAUGCACUAAUAAAAGAAAUACAGAAAGCAAAACCAUACUAAGAGAUCAGAAUACUGAUGUAAAAAUAAGGCAAACAUUAUGUUCUUGUUCUAGGAAUGUGUUCAAAUCAGAUCUGGCUUUGGACUUUUAAUGCAGUAUAGAUUGAAGCUAAGAUCUAACAAUGGGAGUUAGAAUAUUUUAUUUUUUUUUAUGUUCUUGUAACUGAAGCUUUUUCAGGAGGUAGUACUUGUAAUCUAAUAAAUCAACAGGUUUUAUAUUUGCCUUGCAUUUGCACCUGAUAGUUCUGGAAAAAGUUAAAAGGUUUACAAGUUUCUAAUAAUUUACAGGUAUGAAAGGCUUUUUUUUUAAGUUGGGACAGCAAUUCUUACACUUUUAAAUUAAAAUAUAAUGGUAUAAACUGAACUUUUUCUAAACGUUCUAUUAUGGUUCUUUUUAUGUUUCUGACAUUAUAAGGGAUAACUUUGUUCUCGAUGCAUCUCAUGGAAGGGUGGUGAUUUCUAUUAUCCGUCCACAAUAUUUGUAUGUACUGUAAUAAAGGUAAUGUGCAUUUUUGUGGAACAGUCCUGUAAAGCCAAGAUCUUUCUUUUCAAUGUCUUUGAAAUAUUGUGCUAGUAACAGACAAUCUUUACUUUCAGAUGCAUGUUUCUAAGUUUGAUUCUCCUACAGGUGCUUCUUGUAAUGGUACUUCAGAUGUAUGAGACCUCCAAAUAAUAAAGCACGUGGUUUUGGGGUUUUGUUUUUU